Molecule: ribosomal RNA, 1450 nt
Filed under: uncultured anaerobic ammonium-oxidizing bacterium
Lineage: Bacteria
Description: 16S ribosomal RNA
Rfam family: Bacterial small subunit ribosomal RNA
Source: RNAcentral
GAACGAGGAUAUAUCCUUCGGGGUAUAAGCCGAGUGGCGCAAGGGUGAGUAAUGCAUAGAUUACCUGCCUCUAGGAUAAGGACAACUUUGUGAAAACGAAGCUAAUACUUAAUAAUACAAAAGAAAAUAAUUUUCUUUUGUCAAUGGGAGGGUAGCAAUACCUUUUGCCUAGAGAGGGGUUUAUGUCCUAUCAGCUUGUUGGUGGGGUAAUGGCCUACCAAGGCGAAGACGGGUAGCCGGUCUUAGAGGAUGGUCGGCCACACUGGGACUGAGACACUGCCCAGACUUCUACGGAAGGCUGCAGUCGAGAAUCUUUCGCAAUGCCCGAAAGGGUGACGAAGCGACGCCGCGUGAGUGAGGAAGGCCUUAGGGUUGUAAAGCUCUGUCAGGAGUUAAGAAAUAUAAGUGUGUUAAUACCACAUUUAUUUGACGAAGGCUCCAAAGGAAGCCACGGCUAACUCUGUGCCAGCAGCCGCGGUAAUACAGAGGUGGCAAGCGUUGUUCGGAAUUAUUGGGCGUAAAGAGCACGUAGGUGGGUUUGUAAGUCAGAUGUGAAAGCCUUCUGUUCAACGGAAGAAUUGCAUCUGAAACUGCAAAUCUUGAGUGUAGGAGGGGAGAAUGGAACUUCUGGUGGAGCGGUGAAAUGCGUAGAUAUCAGAAGGAACGCCGGCGGCGAAAGCGAUUCUCUGGCCUAUUACCGACACUCAGUGUGCGAAAGCUAGGGGAGCAAACGGGAUUAGAUACCCCGGUAGUCCUAGCCGUAAACGAUGGGCACUAAGUAGAGGGGAUUACCGAUGUUCUCUCUGCCGUAGCUAACGCAUUAAGUGCCCCGCCUGGGGAGUACGGCCGCAAGGCUAAAACUCAAAAGAAUUGACGGGGGCUCGCACAAGCGGUGGAGCAUGUGGCUUAAUUCGAUGCAACGCGAAAAACCUUACCGGGGCUUGACAUGGUAGAAGUAGGAACCCGAAAGGGUAACGAACGGUAUCCAGUCCGUAGCUAUCACAGGUGUUGCAUGGCUGUCGUCAGCUCGUGUCGUGAGACGUUGGGUUAAGUCCCCUAACGAGCGAAACCCUUGUUUUUAGUUACCAGCGGGUUAUGCCGGGUACUCUAGAAAGACUGCCGUCGUCAAGACGGAGGAAGGUGGGGAUGACGUCAAGUCAUCAUGGCCCUUAUGCCCCGGGCUGCACACGUGCUACAAUGGUCGGUACAAACGGAAGCGAAGCCGAGAGGUGAAGCGAAUCCUAAAAAGCCGAUCUCAGUUCGGAUUGGAGGCUGAAAUUCGCCUCCAUGAAGUUGGAAUCGCUAGUAAUCGCGGAUCAGCAAUGCCGCGGUGAAUAUGUUCCCGAGCCUUGUACACACCGCCCGUCAAGCCACCCAAGCAGGAUGCACCCGAAAACAUUAUAUCUAACCAGGGCAACUUGGAGGAAAGUGUUGAAGGAGUGUUUUGUGA